CUCAUAGCGUAUAUUAAUGUUGUUGCAGUUAAAAAGCUCGUAGUUGGAUUCCUGACCUGGGGUAGCCGGUCCGCCUUGCAAAAGGUGCGCACUGAGCGGCCUCGGUCAUCCUUGAGAAGAGCGGUCCUGGCAUUCAGUUGUCGGGGUCGGGAUUCUCGACGUUUACUGUGAAAAAAUCAGAGUGUUCAACGCAGGCUUACGCCUUGAAUACAUUAGCAUGGAAUAAUGAGAUAGGACCUUGGCGGUCUAUUUUGUUGGUUUGCACGCCGAGGUAAUGAUUAAAAGGGACGGUUGGGGUUCUUCGUAUUCAAUUGUCAGAGGUGAAAUUCUUGGAUUUAUGGAAGACGAACUGCUGCGAAAGCGUCGAACAAGGACGUUCUCAUUAAUCAAGAACGAAAGUUAGGGGAUCGAAGAUGAUUAGAUACCAUCGUAGUCUUAACCAUAAACUAUGCCGAUUCAGGAUUGGCGGUCGUUUGUUCUCGACUCCGUCAGCACUGUAUGAGAAAUCAAAAUCUUUGGGUUCCGGGGGGAGUAUGGUCGCAAGGCUGAAACUUAAAGAAAUUGACGGAAGGGCACCACCAGGAGUGGAGCCUGCGGCU
Molecule: ribosomal RNA, 599 nt
Filed under: uncultured eukaryote
Lineage: Eukaryota
Description: SSU rRNA
Rfam family: Eukaryotic small subunit ribosomal RNA
Source: RNAcentral